CGCCGGCCGCACGCUCCCGCCACAGCGACCCCUGGAGGCGCGGCGGGAUGGCGGCAGGCGCUCCCCGCCCGCCGCGCAGGGAGGGAGUGGCGGCCCGGGCCGGGAGCCCUCGGGUGACGGGUUCGAGCCCCGGCGGAGCGCCCACCCGCCAGGGGUUGGCACCUGCGGGGCUCGGCCAGGCCAGGAAAAUACACAGCUGUCCUAACGAAUUUUGGGAACAGGAGAUUGUCACUGCAUUUGCAGAAAUGUACAGGAGCAGAUUGAGGCUCUUUUACCAAAGGACUAAAAUAAGGAAUUUCCAUGGUGUGAAGGAUUUCCCCGUGGGUGCAGACUGGGCAUGAAAGGUCCUCUGGAGACUCCUCAAAUGAGAGGCUUAUUUCAAGACGUUUCCUGUUGAGUAACUGAUGCUGCUGCUGCUGCGAGGUAAAGGGAGACAUACACAAUGCUGAAGGGAACGUAUGGUAAUGUCAUGGCAAUGACAGGCAUGAAGCCAAAGGCUGCCCUUAUCUUUCCUUCCAUCCCAGAGGAGCUAAGCAGGCAGUGCAGAGGGAGAACAC
RNAcentral lists this long non-coding RNA (557 nucleotides) under Parus major (Great Tit). RNAcentral's name for it is "lncRNA (ENSPMJG00000011837.1)". Lineage: Eukaryota; Metazoa; Chordata; Aves; Passeriformes; Paridae. The record is from RNAcentral.